CCUACGGGAGGCAGCAGUGAGGAAUAUUGGUCAAUGGCCGGAAGGCUGAACCAGCCAAGCCGCGUGAAGGACGAAGGUGCCAAGCAUUGUAAACGUCUUUUGUCAAGGGACAAAAGCGGGCACGAGAGCCGGACCGAGGGUACUUGAAGAAAAAGCAUCGGCUAACUCCGUGCCAGCAGCCGCGGUAAUACGGAGGAUGCGAGCGUUAUCCGGAUUUAGUGGGUUUAAAGGGUGCGUAGGCGGACGGUUAAGUCAGCGGGAAAAGCCCGGGGCGCAACCCCGGCGAGCCGUUGAAACUGGCUUUCUUGAGUUGUCGAGAGGUAUGCGGAAUGCGCGGUGUAGCGGU
This 346-nucleotide ribosomal RNA is filed under the name uncultured bacterium. RNAcentral's name for it is "partial 16S ribosomal RNA". It matches the Rfam family "Bacterial small subunit ribosomal RNA", at positions 338 to 682 of the family's 1533-position model. The record is from RNAcentral.